RNAcentral lists this ribosomal RNA (576 nucleotides) under uncultured bacterium. Its description in RNAcentral is "bacterial SSU rRNA". It matches the Rfam family "Bacterial small subunit ribosomal RNA", at positions 102 to 674 of the family's 1533-position model. The record is from RNAcentral.
ACGGGUGAGUAAUACAUCGGAACGUAUCCUGGAGUGGGGGAUAGCCCGGCGAAAGCCGGAUUAAUACCGCAUACGCUCUGAGGAGGAAAGCGGGGGACCUUCGGGCCUCGCGCUCAAGGGGCGGCCGAUGGCGGAUUAGGUAGUUGGUGGGGUAAGGGCCUACCAAGCCGACGAUCCGUAGCUGGUCUGAGAGGACGACCAGCCACACUGGGACUGAGACACGGCCCAGACUCCUACGGGAGGCAGCAGUGGGGAAUUUUGGACAAUGGGGGCAACCCUGAUCCAGCAAUGCCGCGUGUGUGGAGAAGGCCUUCGGGUUGUAAAGCACUUUUGUCCGGAAAGAAAUCAUCGGGGCCAAUACCCCUGGUGGAUGACGGUACCGGAAGAAUAAGCACCGGCUAACUACGUGCCAGCAGCCGCGGUAAUACGUAGGGUGCGAGCGUUAAUCGGAAUUACUGGGCGUAAAGCGUGCGCAGGCGGUGCUGUAAGACCGAUGUGAAAUCCCCGGGCUUAACCUGGGAACUGCAUUGGUGACUGCAGCGCUGGAGUAUGGCAGAGGGGGGUGGAAUUCCACGU